Molecule: long non-coding RNA, 298 nt
Organism: Chrysemys picta bellii (western painted turtle)
Lineage: Eukaryota; Metazoa; Chordata; Testudines; Emydidae
Source: Ensembl
GCAUACAUGCAAGUGUUCAUCAUCUUGAUACUACUCAUCAUGGGAUCCUUCAUUUUAUUUAUAUUCCACAGCUUUCUGGUAGAGAAGAGGAGAAGAAAGAACAUGAGUCGACAGAAAAGUACCCCAGAACUGUAUCCCACUGCUACUGAUUUUAAUGAAGAAGACAAAGAGCAACUACAGGAAAGAAAAAUUAGCUCUGAUGAUUCAAAAAGUGAAAGUCAAAAUGCUGGCGAAGAUGAAUGAAAGAUGGUACUGGAAGAACUGGAAUAAGAAAAAAGAAAAAAGAUCCAAUGGUAAU